GGGCCAUGUGCCGCCCGCGUGAUCGCCGCCUCCACCUCCUCUGCGGCCGAACUCUCUCCACGCGGGGGCGGGCUGCUCUGAGGCGGCCGCCGGGAAGGUUUGAGUCUGCAGCGGCGCCUUCGCCUCAGGACGCCGGAUACCGGCCUAUCUCAACCCAGCCGUUAGGGGGCGAUGUGCUUGAGAAAAUAUCCCUACCCUUCUCGUGA
RNAcentral lists this long non-coding RNA (206 nucleotides) under Fukomys damarensis (Damara mole-rat). RNAcentral describes it as "lncRNA (ENSFDAG00000029579.1)". Lineage: Eukaryota; Metazoa; Chordata; Mammalia; Rodentia; Bathyergidae. The record is from RNAcentral.